AGAUUGAACGCUGGCGGCAUGCCUAACACAUGCAAGUCGAACGGGAGUAGCAAUACUCUAGUGGCGGACGGGUGAGGAAUACGUAGGAAUUUGCCCUUAAGUGGGGGAUAACCCGGGGAAACCCGGAUUAAUACCGCAUGACCUCGAAAGAGCAAAGUGGGGGAUCGCAAGACCUCACGCUUUUGGAGAAGCCUACGUCGGAUUAGCUAGUUGGUGAGGUAAUGGCUCACCAAGGCGACGAUCCGUAACUGGUCUGAGAGGAUGAUCAGUCACACCGGAACUGAGACACGGUCCGGACUCCUACGGGAGCAGCAGGUGGGGAAUA
This 325-nucleotide ribosomal RNA is filed under the name uncultured soil bacterium. RNAcentral's name for it is "bacterial SSU rRNA". It matches the Rfam family "Bacterial small subunit ribosomal RNA", at positions 26 to 363 of the family's 1533-position model. The record is from RNAcentral.